Molecule: RNA transcript, 665 nt
Organism: Hibiscus syriacus
Lineage: Eukaryota; Viridiplantae; Streptophyta; Magnoliopsida; Malvales; Malvaceae
Gene name: macrophage migration inhibitory factor homolog
Exons: 4
Source: RefSeq, a predicted model, not a curated record
ACUAACAAUUACUUGGAUUCUGAUAGAAGAGUGAAAUGCCUUGCCUCAACAUCUCAACCAACGUGAACCUGGAUGGCGUCGACACCUCCUCCAUCCUCUCCGAAGCCACCUCUACGGUGGCUAAACUCAUCGGAAAACCUGAGGCCUAUGUGAUGAUUGUGUUGAAGGGUUCAGUGCCCAUGUCAUUUGGUGGUUCCGAGCAGCCAGCUGCCUAUGGCGAGCUGGUAUCCAUUGGUGGCUUAAAUCCAGAUGUGAACAAGAAACUGAGUGCUGCAAUUGCUGGAAUUCUCGACACCAAGCUGCAAGUGCCCCCAUCACGGUUCUUCCUCAAAUUCUUUGACACCAAGGCGCAACAAACCCAAGAAUAUGCACAGUGUUUGCAUGCUUUACACCAGCACUAGAUAAUCUAAAUAGAUCUUUUCUCUUUCAUACUGUGAGCAUAGCUCUCGUUAGCUUUCUUGGUUCGAACUUUGGAUGGAAUGGAUCAACCUUCUGAGUGAGGCGAUGUCUGAAUUUCUCGAAACAUUGAUAUUGUCUUUCCACUAUGCUUUAUUUCUACUGUGAAUUACAAGCCUCUACUGUCUAAAUUCGGCAAGACACAUUAUGGCAUUAUGUCUUUUUACCUAUGUGUUUUCCUAGGAUAAUGACAUGCAGACAUUAAUGGA